RNAcentral lists this ribosomal RNA (532 nucleotides) under uncultured beta proteobacterium. RNAcentral's name for it is "bacterial SSU rRNA". It matches the Rfam family "Bacterial small subunit ribosomal RNA", at positions 342 to 869 of the family's 1533-position model. The record is from RNAcentral. Lineage: Bacteria; Pseudomonadati; Pseudomonadota; Betaproteobacteria.
CGGGAGGCAGCAGUGGGGAAUUUUGGACAAUGGGCGCAAGCCUGAUCCAGCAAUGCCGCGUGCAGGAAGAAGGCCUUCGGGUUGUAAACUGCUUUUGUACGGAACGAAACGGUCCUGGUUAAUACCUGGGGCUAAUGACGGUACCGUAAGAAUAAGCACCGGCUAACUACGUGCCAGCAGCCGCGGUAAUACGUAGGGUGCGAGCGUUAAUCGGAAUUACUGGGCGUAAAGCGUGCGCGGGCGGUGCUGUAAGACAGGCGUGAAAUCCCCGGGCUCAACCUGGGAAUUGCCAUUGUGACUGCAGUGCUGGAGUACGGCAGAGGGGGAUGGAAUUCCGCGUGUAGCAGUGAAAUGCGUAGAUAUGCGGAGGAACACCGAUGGCGAAGGCAGUCCCCUGGGCCUGUACUGACGCUCAUGCACGAAAGCGUGGGGAGCAAACAGGAUUAGAUACCCUGGUAGUCCACGCCCUAAACGAUGUCAACUGGUUGUUGGGAUUUACUUUCUCAGUAACGCAGCUAACGCGUGAAGAGAC